This 482-nucleotide ribosomal RNA is filed under the name uncultured bacterium. Its description in RNAcentral is "partial 16S ribosomal RNA". It matches the Rfam family "Bacterial small subunit ribosomal RNA", at positions 30 to 507 of the family's 1533-position model. The record is from RNAcentral.
AUUGAACGCUGGCGGCAUGCCUUACACAUGCAAGUCGAACGGUAACGGGCCUUCGGGUGCCGACGAGUGGCGAACGGGUGCGUAAUACAUCGGAACGUGCCCGAUCGUGGGGGAUAACGAGGCGAAAGCUUUGCUAAUACCGCAUACGAUCUACGGAUGAAAGCAGGGGACCGCAAGGCCUUGCGCGGACGGAGCGGCCGAUGGCAGAUUAGGUAGUUGGUGGGAUAAAAGCUUACCAAGCCGACGAUCUGUAGCUGGUCUGAGAGGAUGAUCAGCCACACUGGGACUGAGACACGGCCCAGACUCCUACGGGAGGCAGCAGUGGGGAAUUUUGGACAAUGGGCGCAAGCCUGAUCCAGCCAUGCCGCGUGCAGGAUGAAGGCCUUCGGGUUGUAAACUGCUUUUGUACGGAACGAAAAGCCUUCUUUUAAUACAGGAGGGUCAUGACGGUACCGUAAGAAUAAGCACCGGCUAAGUACGUG